RNAcentral lists this ribosomal RNA (390 nucleotides) under uncultured organism. RNAcentral's name for it is "bacterial SSU rRNA". It matches the Rfam family "Bacterial small subunit ribosomal RNA", at positions 45 to 433 of the family's 1533-position model. The record is from RNAcentral.
UGCCUUACACAUGCAAGUCGAACGGCAGCACGGGAGCAAUCCUGGUGGCGAGUGGCGAACGGGUGAGUAAUAUAUCGGAACGUGCCCAGUCGUGGGGGAUAACGUAGAGAAAUUUACGCUAAUACCGCAUACGAUCCACGGAUGAAAGCGGGGGAUUCUGCAAAGGGCCUCGCGCGACUGGAGCGGCUGAUAUCAGAUUAGGUUGUUGGUGAGGUAAAAGCUCACCAAGCCGAUGAUCUGUAGCUGGUUUGAGAGAACGACCAGCCAUAUUGGGACUGAGACACGGUCCAGAUUUUUACGGGAGGCAGCAGUGGGGAAUUUUGGACAAUGGGCGCAAGCCUGAUCCAGCAAUGUCGCGUGCAGGAAGAAGGCCUUCGGGUUGUAAACUGC